This is a long non-coding RNA of Micropterus salmoides (largemouth bass), 3899 nucleotides long. RefSeq lists it as uncharacterized. The transcript is spliced from 3 exons. Lineage: Eukaryota; Metazoa; Chordata; Actinopteri; Centrarchiformes; Centrarchidae. The record is from RefSeq and is a predicted model, not a curated record.
CUUUUUGCUAAACAGCUUAAAGUGGAGUAGUGGAAGAAAGACGUGAGACUGAAGGACCUCUGCUUUGAAUCCCUGGACUAUCGGUGUGGACCUUCAAAUAGCUGGUCGAUGUCCACAUUCUGGAUGUUGGACAGCUGGCCCAGCACCGACUGCUUGUGCGUUUCCUCUUGGUUGUCCUCAGCAAUCAUCUUGGCCAGCUCUGUGGGCAACACCACAUCGUCCCCCGCCUGCUGGAUCUGGGUCUCGUCCAUCUCAUUCUGAGACGGGGGCGGUGGAAGACAGAAAGAAUACAUUUACUGGAAAAAGUGGAAGCAGAAAACAGGAACCCAGACGGAGGUUCAGAUUACACAUUGGCAUGGAUGAAAGUGUGAAAAGAAGCUGCUAAGAGACACACUUGGUGACAGAAUUCACAGCAGAAAAUUGUGCAGAUGAAAAGUGAGAAAUGUGAAACAAAUGUUCAGAGAAUUGGGUGGAAUAAGAUGUGAAAUUGAGUGUGAACAGAAAAAAAGACUUCAGACUACAUUGUGUCCUUUUCGCACUCACUAAACUGUGUUAUUAGAAGCAGAAACACCCAAAACCAAAUGACCGCCUUUUCCAUGAUGCUGAAUACAAGGAUGAUACAGUGUUGUUCCUGAUAGCUGCCUCAAUGAGACAGCAGAGCCCUUUAGAGAGUACAACACCAGCUGCUGACAAAGCCUCAUCGAGAGAAGAUGGAGAAUUAAAAACAGUAUCAAACAUGCAUGCAACCCAGAAAGUGGAAAGACCAGACUCCUGAGACAGAAGCUAUAGAUCAAGAACCUACACAAAUGCCAGGGUUGCCAUGGAGUAAGCAGAAAGGGAGGCUCCUAACCAUCCAACCAAGCCACAACAAUUGUGCACAUGUCCACAUUACUUUCAGUAGUUUAGGUGUGGAGCUGUUUAAUGGUUUGUGCAAGACCACCCAUAGUUCCAUUUUAAUAGAAUUCUUAAUGUCACAGCAUGAUAUUUUCAACAUCCUUAUGCCUCAAACUUGGUGACUUUGUGAUAUAUAUUUUACCACAAAACUUUGUCUGUGCACCUUUAAAUCCAGAUUGGAUUCAAACUUCGUAUAAUGUGUUCCACCCUGUCAGCCUUUCAUUCAUUUGAUUUUUUACUUACUCGCAAUCCUGUACUUACACUUCCUGCAAACUGCAGCACUGUUAUAAUGCUCUGAUAUACUCACACAUCUGUCUCUGACUCUGUCUCUAUGUCUGUUUUCAACCAAGUGUUGUUUAAUCCAUAUACCGUGUUCUUUAUGUUCUGUAAAACUGCUGCCAACCUGUUAAAACCACUUUAAAGAAACCAGCCUACAUCAAAUGCAGCUACUCUAUCUCCAUGUAUGCACAGACUAGUAUUAAUAUUAGCAUGCUCCACUUCUGUGCAUUCAAAUGCACAGAAGUGUAUUAGUGUAAGUAGCUCUGGUGGGUUUAAACCUUAUAAGCACUGCAGCUUUAUAGCCACGCUGUACCCGCUGGGCUGCAAAGUGGGCUAAAUCGCUGCACAGUGAGACUGUCGGUGAUAUCAUCUGUGUGCUGGACGUCAAAUGAUAGAAAGGAGGUGAUUUUUGUCCACAUUUAAUUAAGUGGUUAAAAUGACCCCAAGCUACCACUCUUAACCAACAGAAGAAUUACAAGCAGAUAGUAGCAGGGAGUGAAAACAAAAAUGAUAGCGAUAUUACAAGAUUACAAUUACAAGAAUGAUAGAGAUAUAGUAUGUUAAGGAAAAUCAGCCUGUCCUCCUCCCCAGUAAAUAGGUCAUUUGUUCAGUACCUCAUUACUACCCAUGUUUACGUUUAUUGUGGCAGUGCCCUCUACUGGCCGUACUAAUAAUAAUAAUAAUAUUAAUAGUGAGAACAUCUGCGUAAUGGUGCUUUCAGACCAAACGCGAAUUUAAUCCUCGCGACGCUUUUCCUCGCGUGAGUACAUUCGCAGCAAGUGUUCACACACAAGGCAAGAAGGCGAAAAUUUACUCGAGUUGGAAAUUUUCAACUCACGCGAAGGCCUUCGUGUUGGCUUUGCGUCGCCUGCACCGCCCCCUUUGCGUCGCUUCGCGUGGCCCAACAAGAAAUCGCGGCUCUACACGUCUUUGCAUUGACUUUGUAUGUAAACUCACCGCCCCGAACGCUGUUGGUCUGAAAGCACAGUAAGAGGAGGACGGACUUUCACACAGGAGAACGGUGUUUGAGUCCCACGUGAAAUCAAGUAAAUAGUGAGUUAUUUUGAGUUUUAAGUUAAAUAGCAUUACUGACUUCUGUCACAUGAUCUACAUAACAUCACUUACGCAAUGUAGGCCCACCUAUUUUAGCCCAAACCACCAUGUUUUCGUAAUCGCUGAUAUUCAGGCGAUUUUAACUAACUCAAUGUCAGAACCAAGAUGACAUGAAAACAGUCGCAGAAUCUGCACCACACUGCAGUGUUUCCCAUUCAUUGAUUUAUUUGUGGCGACACAACGAGCCACAAUAUCAACGCUGAACGCCACAUAUGUUAACAUUAGAAUACAGCUGGGUUGUCGAGGUUAGCGUGCUGUACAUAGCUGCUAUCGAAUGCACCCCCCUCCCUGCUGCCAAUUACACAGUAAUUCUGUGGGAAACACUGUAUUGUGUAUUUACAGGUGUUUCUGGCGGUUUCUCUUAAAGCUAAAGCUGUUUCUUCCAUGCUGUCAUUUCACUGACUUGCUGCAACGUAACACCGCCCCCUGGCGAUCAGAUUGCCAAUCGGUGAUCGGCAAACUCUACUAACCAAGUAGUUUUGUUGCCUAAACCUAACCAAACUAUGACUGUCUCACAUCGUUAACCACAUGUUUAAUGUCAUUUAACGUGAGGUUUGACAAACGACCUAUUUUGUUGUUCAGGUUGUAGGACUUGUUGAGGAAAAUUGUCAUUUUAUGAGACAUUUUUAUUGUCAGGAGAGAGAGAGAGAGACGAAGAUGCAGGAAAGGUCAUGGGUCAGAUCUGAGUCCACAUUAAGAGCAUAUGGCUGCUGAGCCUGCGCUGUCAUAUCUCUGCUUAUUUAGCUUUUCUUUCCUCGCAUGCUUCUUUUACACUGCUCUCACACAUUUGCUUUACUCUCUGCCUUUUCCAUUUUCUAACCCUUCCUUCUUAUCCUCCUUCCCCACCCCCACCCUCCUUCCUUCCUUCCCUCAAAUCCCUACGAUCCUCCAUCCUUCCAUCCCUCCCCCGUCUUCCUUGCCUGAUUUAGACCUCUUGCCUGAGAGGAACAUCAGAGCACAAUGGGUUAGUGCUAGCUGAGCUUAAAUGGAAUGAGAAACCCGGAAAAUUCUCUUUCAUGAGUAGAUGCAAACAAUCAGCAGUGUGAGGAUGAAUGAAGGAGAGGAGGAUGAGAUAGAGCAAGCUGGGAAGUAAGAGCAGUGAGACAAGGGUGCAGAAAAAUGGCUAGAGAUGGGUGUAAGGGUCAGUGGAGAGGGGAGAAUGAUGAAGGUUUUUAAUUCCAAAAGCCAUUUUACAACAAAUUGCAUUGUGACAUCUGUGGCUUAAUAAUAUACUGUAGAUAUAAUCCCAUGCUUGUGUAUGUGGUGUUUUUUGGAAAAAGGUCCUAACAAUAGUGGAAAACAAAUUGCCAUUUUGCAGCAGCUAUAAAUGUAAAAUAUGAUUACGAUAUGCUACCGGAACUCUGGGGUACAAUAAGGUAAUGAUAGGGGCUUUGGGAAAAUCAUUUAAGGAAUACAGCAACGUACUAACAGGUGUCCAUAAGACAUACAGCUGUUACAGAGGACAACUUGAACCAGAUUCAAAAAUUGUUACUCCUUUGUUCCCCAUUGUAUUGUUUUCUUUCAGUGUACUUACAGUAUUUAACUUGAACCUGAUUCAUACAACGGAAUUAUGUAGUAUGUCACGGGCUGUAUGUUGAAGUGAUACCCAAAAA